Molecule: long non-coding RNA, 1275 nt
Organism: Salvelinus sp. IW2-2015
Lineage: Eukaryota; Metazoa; Chordata; Actinopteri; Salmoniformes; Salmonidae
Source: RefSeq, a predicted model, not a curated record
ACGAAAUGGAGAAAAGGUUGGUGAAGCAAAAGGUGUGGUGGAAUGCUAACGAUAUGGGUGUCAGUUCUGAUGGUAUGGAGCAGAAGGAUGAGGGUCAAGCACCGGAAUGGUCGGUAGUGGAAAGAAGAGAGAUCAUGAUACAGAAAGCUGUGGAUCAUCUAGUAAAGAAAUGAUAAAGAGGGACAAGGUCCCAGGUCCCGAGAACCUUUUUAUUCUCACUCAACAGCUUCAUCAUUACUCAAGGCCACAAUGGAACAGAAUAGUGCACCUUGGUGGAUCUUGACUAAUCUGAGAGCAGAGUACUGGUGCACACGGAAGGCAUCGCUUAAGAAAAUCUCAAGGAAGGACACUGCGGCACUCUCUUGGAUUGGCUGGAUCAGCAGUAGGGGACACAGAGACCACAGGAAGUAGAAGUGGGCUCCGAAACCAGACUUUAUCUAACAUUUCUUUAUCCAAUAAACUCCCCCGUUCAUUCCAUGCCUCUCCUUGUGCUGCGACCACAAACAAAUCGGUUUCGUAAACCCUGUUGCAUUUUGAGUUAAUCUUAGUCUGUUAUUGAUGCUAAUCAUUUCAAUCUGUUCAAAAUUAUGCUGAACAGAAAGGUUCAGGUUUAUUUAAAAAGUGUUUUAGGUGUCAAUAUGCCAAAAUGCAAUAGAAAUAUUUGAGAAAAAUUGCACCGGAGUGAUGCUUUGUAUGAUGGAAUGUGGCCCAGUGUCAGACGAGAGGACGACUCACUCAGUGAGAUCAAAUACUGUAUAUUGUACUGUAUCUUGAGGAAUAUGACAAUAUCCUGUGGCUUUAGAGGGCAAGAGAUGUUUUUGUGGAGCAUUAUCUUCGGAGGGGAAAAUGAAUGUUCUGGCGGAAUAACUCAUUUUGGCGUUGAUGAUGAUAUUAUUUGCUCUUCCAGAUCACUGUCUUUCAUAUCAAAUCACAAGUGAACACAAAUGUUUUUGUUUGUUUGUUUUUUGGUGCCUUUUCUUCCUGCCGCCAAGCCAACCCAGACAAAGCCACUGGUCCAAUCACUUUGUGAAGCACCAACCGUGCUCAAUGAUCCAUGCUGCCAGUCUGUUGAUGAGGGCUGGACUAGAUUAAUUGACUAUCUGUCCAUUUCAAGGGAAACCUAUCCCUUCCCAUCAAUAUCAGCAUUUAGAACAGUUAGUGAAAACAAAGCUGAAGCUCUUUUCUCAGAUAUCGGGUCAAUGCCCUUCAUUACGCAAGUGUACACUUACCCUAACCCUAACCAAGUGCAUUCGGAAAGGAUUCAGACCCCUUGAC